CGUAUCAAAUGAAGGAGAUAGAAGGGGCCAAUGAGCCCACUUACUGUAUCCAUUCCAUCCGUACCAAGAUCGCUGGUACGAUUGGUGAGAAUUAAGCCAUUCGUGCUAGCCGCCCCGAGAUCCAACUCGCAUAUGCGAGGAACGAGUGGAACGAAAAAUAAUUUUGUUCCAAUCGUGAAGAGUGCAUAGCUGGAGACUGGAGACGAAUUCGAUCCAUCCAUGCCAAGUGCGUAGGAUUGAGGUGAGGAAGAAACCAAUCUCUAGCCUUCCCAAUUCAUCAC
This 281-nucleotide long non-coding RNA is filed under the name Salvia miltiorrhiza (redroot sage). Its description in RNAcentral is "long non-coding RNA (SMIL_LNC010541)". The record is from RNAcentral. Lineage: Eukaryota; Viridiplantae; Streptophyta; Magnoliopsida; Lamiales; Lamiaceae.